Acanthopagrus latus (yellowfin seabream) is the source of this 303-nucleotide long non-coding RNA. RefSeq lists it as uncharacterized. Lineage: Eukaryota; Metazoa; Chordata; Actinopteri; Spariformes; Sparidae. The transcript is spliced from 2 exons. The record is from RefSeq and is a predicted model, not a curated record.
AUGUUGCCUAGCAACAUAAAUGGCGGGGAUUCUGCGUCCCUGGAUCUACGUUUUAUAUCUAAAACUAACAAACAAACAACAAAAGCCAAUUUAAAAUGAGUAAUUGGAGUCAUUAAGUGACUCAUCUUUGUGGUUUUAGAUGUAGCAUUUUAAUGGGAAGUAGAGUCGUCAUCCAAUACAUUCAUGGACUUACCUGGGAACAGUUUCAAAAUUUCCAUGACACCUGAGGGCAUCACAGGCAAUUACCAUGUGAAGCAAACACCGGAGACUUCAAAGUGAAAUAAAGAGAAAUGGAGCAUGUCA